AGGUGCGAUCAUACCAGCACUAAUGCACCGGAUCCCAUCAGAACUCCGCAGAUAAGCGUGCUUGGGCGAGAGUAGUACUAGGAUGGGUGACCUCCUGGGAAGUCCUCGUGUUGCACUUC
Molecule: non-coding RNA, 119 nt
Organism: Phaseolus vulgaris (common bean)
Lineage: Eukaryota; Viridiplantae; Streptophyta; Magnoliopsida; Fabales; Fabaceae
Source: Rfam